Molecule: non-coding RNA, 80 nt
Organism: Asaia platycodi SF2.1
Lineage: Bacteria; Pseudomonadati; Pseudomonadota; Alphaproteobacteria; Acetobacterales; Acetobacteraceae
Source: Rfam
CGGCAAGACCCUCGCGAUUUGAACGGCCGGAUUGCGGCGAGGCUAAACAACAGCGCUAAAGAGGCCCGGAACCAGUUUGG